UAACCUCAAAACUUUCGAGAUGCUGUCUGCGAUACGGUUGUUGAGAUUCUUCGAGAUCCACAUCUAUACGAUCAGUUGAGCUCGUUGUCACAGCUAUCAUAGCAGAUAAGUCUAUUAAUAAUUUUUUUAUUUGUUUUAAAUUUUUAUAUUUAGAAACUUUAUAUAUUUAGACUUGAGUUCGGAAAGGAGAUAUCAGGGAUUAAAAAUUCAAUCUAACUAUCCAAAUGAUGGAUCGGGCC
This 239-nucleotide long non-coding RNA is filed under the name Elaeis guineensis (African oil palm). Its description in RNAcentral is "long non-coding RNA (EGUI_LNC023765)". The record is from RNAcentral. Lineage: Eukaryota; Viridiplantae; Streptophyta; Magnoliopsida; Arecales; Arecaceae.